UACAUGGGGUGCAAACGUUGCUCGGAAUUAUUGGGCGUAAAGCGCGCGUAGGCGGUUACUUAAGUCGGAUGUGAAAGCCCUCGGCUUAACUGAGGAAGUGCACCCGAAACUGCAGAGCUUGAGUACCGGAGAGGAUGGCGGAAUUCCCCAAGUAGAGGUGAAAUUCGUAGAUAUGGGGAGGAACACCGGUGGCGAAGGCGGCCAUCUGGACGGAUACUGACGCUGAGACGCGAAAGCGUGGGGAGCAAACAGG
Molecule: ribosomal RNA, 253 nt
Filed under: uncultured bacterium
Lineage: Bacteria
Description: partial 16S ribosomal RNA
Rfam family: Bacterial small subunit ribosomal RNA
Source: RNAcentral